Molecule: ribosomal RNA, 483 nt
Filed under: uncultured bacterium
Lineage: Bacteria
Description: partial 16S ribosomal RNA
Rfam family: Bacterial small subunit ribosomal RNA
Source: RNAcentral
AUUGAACGCUGGCGGCAGGCCUAACACAUGCAAGUCGAGCGGAUGAAGGGAGCUUGCUCCUGGAUUCAGCGGCGGACGGGUGAGUAAUGCCUAGGAAUCUGCCUGGUAGUGGGGGAUAACGUCCGGAAACGGGCGCUAAUACCGCAUACGUCCUGAGGGAGAAAGUGGGGGAUCUUCGGACCUCACGCUAUCAGAUGAGCCUAGGUCGGAUUGCUAGUUGGUGGGGUAAAGGCCUACCAAGGCGACGAUCCGUAACUGGUCUGAGAGGAUGAUCAGUCACACUGGAACUGAGACACGGUCCAGACUCCUACGGGAGGCAGCAGUGGGGAAUAUUGGACAAUGGGCGAAAGCCUGAUCCAGCCAUGCCGCGUGUGUGAAGAAGGUCUUCGGAUUGUAAAGCACUUUAAGUUGGGAGGAAGGGCAGUAAGUUAAUACCUUGCUGUUUUGACGUUACCAACAGAAUAAGCACCGGCUAACUUCGUG